GGCGCGUAGGCGGUCUAUUAAGUGUGGUGUGAAAUCUCCAGAGCUCAACUCGGAAACUGCACCGCAUACUGGUAGACUAGAGGAAGGUAGAGGUAGAUAGAAUUCCUGGUGUAACGGUGACAUGUGUAGAUAUCAGGAGGAAUACCGAUGGCGAAGGCAGUCAACUGGGCUUUUCCUGACGCUGAGGCGCGAAAGCGUGGGUAGCAAACAGAAUUAGAUACUCUGGUAGUCCACGCCCUAAACGAUGGAUGCUAGGCGUAAGGGGUAUCGACCCCCUUUGUGCCGUAGCUAACGCAUUAAGCAUCCCGCCUGGGGAGUACGGCCGCAAGGUUGAAACUCAAAUGAAUUGACGGGACCCCGCACAAGCGGUGGAGCAUGUGGAUUAAUUCGAUACUAACCGAAGAACCUUACCUGGGUUUGACAUCGCGGGUAAUCCUAUGAAAGUAGGACCCUGACUCACAAGGUCGGCCCAAAGACACCUGUUGCAUGGCUGUCGUCAGCUCGUGCCGUGAGGUGUUUGGUUAAGUCCAGCAACGAGCGCAACCCUCGUCUUAUGUUGCCAGCGGGUAAUGCCGGGAACUCAUGAGAGACUGCCUGUGUAAGCAGGAGGAAGGUGAGGAUGACGUCAAGUCGGCAUGGCGGUUACACCCAGGGCUUCACACAUGCUACAAUGGGCGCAACAAAGGGCAGCAAUACCGCGAGGUGGAGCUAAUCCCAAAAAUACGUCCUCAGUUCAGAUUGUAGUCUGCAACUCGACUGCAUGAAGGCGGAAUCGCUAGUAAACGCAGGUCAGCUAUACUGCGUUGAAUACGUUCCCGGGGUUUGUACACACUGCCCGUCAAGUGAUCCGAGUCGUUUCUACCCGAAGUCCGUGGCCCAACCGUAAGGAGGGAGCGGCCGAAGGUGGAGGGGGUAAGGAGCACUAAGUCGUAACAAGGUACCCGUACCGGAAGGUGUGGGUGGAUCACCUCCUAA
Molecule: ribosomal RNA, 975 nt
Filed under: Armatimonadota bacterium
Lineage: Bacteria; Bacillati; Armatimonadota
Description: bacterial SSU rRNA
Rfam family: Bacterial small subunit ribosomal RNA
Source: RNAcentral